This 756-nucleotide ribosomal RNA is filed under the name uncultured bacterium. RNAcentral describes it as "bacterial SSU rRNA". It matches the Rfam family "Bacterial small subunit ribosomal RNA", at positions 353 to 1125 of the family's 1533-position model. The record is from RNAcentral.
AGUGGGGAAUAUUGCACAAUGGAGGAAACUCUGAUGCAGCAACGCCGCGUGGAGGAUGACGCAUUUCGGUGUGUAAACUCCUUUUAUAUAGGAAGAUAAUGACGGUACUAUAUGAAUAAGCACCGGCUAACUCCGUGCCAGCAGCCGCGGUAAUACGGAGGGUGCAAGCGUUACUCGGAAUCACUGGGCGUAAAGCGCAUGCAGGCGGUUUAUUAAGUUGGAAGUGAAAUCCUAUGGCUCAACCAUAGAACUGCUUCCAAAACUGAUAGACUAGAGUCUGGGAGGGGAAGAUGGAAUUAGUAGUGUAGGGGUAAAAUCCGUAGAGAUUACUAGGAAUACCAAAAGCGAAGGCGAUCUUCUGGAACAGUACUGACGCUGAGAUGCGAAAGCGUGGGGAGCAAACAGGAUUAGAUACCCUGGUAGUCCACGCAGUAAACGAUGAAUGUUAGUCGUUGGGACUCUAGUAGUUUCAGUGAUGCAGUUAACACAUUAAACAUUCCGCCUGGGGAGUACGGUCGCAAGAUUAAAACUCAAAGGAAUAGACGGGGACCCGCACAAGUGGUGGAGCAUGUGGUUUAAUUCGAAGAUACGCGAAGAACCUUACCUAGCCUUGACAUACUACAGAAUUUGACAGAGAUGUUGAAGUGCCUUCGGGAGCUGUAAUACAGGUGCUGCACGGCUGUCGUCAGCUCGUGUCGUGAGAUGUUGGGUUAAGUCCCGCAACGAGCGCAACCCUCGUCCUUAGUUACUAACGGU